Manis pentadactyla (Chinese pangolin) is the source of this 459-nucleotide long non-coding RNA. RefSeq lists it as uncharacterized. The transcript has 3 exons. NCBI's taxonomy places the organism in Eukaryota, Metazoa, Chordata, Mammalia, Pholidota, Manidae. The record is from RefSeq and is a predicted model, not a curated record.
UGCCCCAUCCUGCCGCUGGGAACCGGCGGGUCGGUAAGCCCAUGACUCUGCGUGGACGAAAUCCGAGACGCGUGGUUUCUAAGCCCCUCCUAUGGCUUCGGAAAAUUUCCGUUCUCAGCCUCCUUGAGAAUCACGGUAUGUGUGGCAGAGUGCUGCGCGUGGCUGUCGCCAAGGACGGCUUCGGAGUCAGGUUGGCCCGACUGUCAUCGUCGCCCGUCCCUUUCACGCCUGCCGAAGUCACCCAGCCAGCAAGUGUGGCUCCUGCCUGAGCCGGACCCAGGUUGAAUGAAGGUGAGGCCUGCACUCGGCCAGUACCUGUGGAACUGGGAUGAAUGGCCCCUUAUCCAGGUCAACUGACCCUCCUUGACUAACGGCUCCAUGGAGCUCCUUUCUGCUUGCUAGAUGAGAUGCUGCCCGAUUCAUGAACUGUUCAAUAAAGCCAAUUUGGUUUUUCAAUUA